Maniola jurtina (meadow brown) is the source of this 107-nucleotide small nuclear RNA. The record is from RefSeq and is a predicted model, not a curated record. Lineage: Eukaryota; Metazoa; Arthropoda; Insecta; Lepidoptera; Nymphalidae.
AAUCUCCAUAGAAAUUAGCCAAUUUUUUGGAACGAUACAGAGAAGAUUAGCAUGGCCCCUGCGCAAGGAUGGCACAUAAAAAAAAAAAAAAACUGCGUGAGAUAUAU